UACAGAGGGUGCAAGCGUUAAUCGGAGUAACUGGGCGUAAAGGGCGCGUAGGCGGUAUUGAAAGUGAGAUGUGAAAGGCCUGGGCUUAACCUAGGAACGGCAUCUUAGACUAUGAUGCUAGAGUGCAGUAGAGGGUGGCGGAAUUUCCGGUGUAGCGGUGAAAUGCGUAGAGAUCGGAAGGAACACCAGUGGCGAAGGCGGCCACCUGGACUGUCACUGACGCUGAGGCGCGAGAGCGUGGGUAGCAAACAGG
RNAcentral lists this ribosomal RNA (253 nucleotides) under uncultured bacterium. RNAcentral describes it as "partial 16S ribosomal RNA". It matches the Rfam family "Bacterial small subunit ribosomal RNA", at positions 524 to 776 of the family's 1533-position model. The record is from RNAcentral.